This 450-nucleotide ribosomal RNA is filed under the name uncultured bacterium. RNAcentral describes it as "partial 16S ribosomal RNA". It matches the Rfam family "Bacterial small subunit ribosomal RNA", at positions 338 to 795 of the family's 1533-position model. The record is from RNAcentral.
UCUACGGGGGGCUGCAGUGGGGAAUUUUGGACAAUGGGGGCAACCCUGAUCCAGCCAUGCCGCGUGAGUGAAGAAGGCCUUCGGGUUGUAAAGCUCUUUCGGCCGGGAAGAAAUCGCUCAAGCUAAUACCUUGGGUGGAUGACGGUACCGGAAGAAGAAGCACCGGCUAACUACGUGCCAGCAGCCGCGGUAAUACGUAGGGUGCGAACGUUACUCGGAAUUACCGGAGGCGGCGCGUGCAGAGAGGGGUGAAAUCCCCGGGCUUAACCUGGGAACUGCGUUUGUGACUGUGGUGCUCGAGUGCGGGAGAGGGGGGUGGAAUUCCACGUGUAGCAGUGAAAUGCGUAGAGAUGUGGAGGAACACCGAUGGCGAAGGCAGCCCCCUGGGUCGACACUGACGCUCAUGCACGAAAGCGUGGGGAGCAAACAGGAUUAGAUACCCGAGUAGUC